GUGGGGAAUAUUGGACAAUGGGGGGAACCCUGAUCCAGCCAUGCCGCGUGUGUGAAGAAGGCCUUUUGGUUGUAAAGCACUUUAAGCGAGGAGGAGGCUACCGAGAUUAAUACUCUUGGAUAGUGGACGUUACUCGCAGAAUAAGCACCGGCUAACUCUGUGCCAGCAGCCGCGGUAAUACAGAGGGUGCAAGCGUUAAUCGGAUUUACUGGGCGUAAAGCGCGCGUAGGUGGCCAAUUAAGUCAAAUGUGAAAUCCCCGAGCUUAACUUGGGAAGUGCAUUCGAUACUGGUUGGCUAAAGUAUGGGAGAGGAUGGUAGAAUUCCAGGUGUAGCGGUGAAAUGCGUAGAGAUCUGGAGGAAUACCGAUGGCGAAGGCAGCCAUCUGGCCUAAUACUGACACUGAGGUGCGAAAGCAUGGGGAGCAAACAGGAUUAGAUACCCUGGUAGUCC
Molecule: ribosomal RNA, 451 nt
Filed under: uncultured bacterium
Lineage: Bacteria
Description: partial 16S ribosomal RNA
Rfam family: Bacterial small subunit ribosomal RNA
Source: RNAcentral